GAUGAACGCUGGCUCCAGGCUUAACACAUGCAAGUCGAGGGGAAACGACGGGAAGGCUUGCUUCCCCGGGCGUCGACCGGCGCCCGGGUGAGUAACGCGUAUCCAACCUGCCUCUGACUGAGGGAUAACCCGUCGAAAGUCGGCCUAAUACCCCAUGUUAUCGUCUCCGGGCAUCAAACAACGAUUAAAGAUUUCAUCGGUCAGGGAUGGGGAUGCGUCUGAUUAGCUUGUUGGCGGGGUAACGGCCCACCAAGGCUACGAUCAGUAGGGGUUCUGAGGGGAAGGUCCCCCACAUUGGAACUGAGACACGGUCCAAACUCCUACGGGAGGCAGCAGUGAGGAAUAUUGGUCAAUGGGCGAGAGCCUGAACCAGCCAAGUAGCGUGCAGGAAGACGGCCCUAUGGGUUGUAAACUGCUUUUAUGCGGGGAUAAAGUGAGGGACGUGUCCCUCAUUGCAGGUACCGCAUGAAUAAGGACCGGCUAAUUCCGU
RNAcentral lists this ribosomal RNA (490 nucleotides) under uncultured bacterium. Its description in RNAcentral is "partial 16S ribosomal RNA". It matches the Rfam family "Bacterial small subunit ribosomal RNA", at positions 28 to 506 of the family's 1533-position model. The record is from RNAcentral.